GGGCGGGUAGCGCAGUGGUCAGCGCAUUCCCUGAGCGUUUCUCUUCUCUUUCCUACCUAAGCGGAUUUCAGCGUUGAUUUCUAAUUAUAUGUUACAAGCGUUCAUUGGAAGACCUGGGUUCGAAUCCCAGCCCGCCCA
Echria macrotheca is the source of this 138-nucleotide non-coding RNA. NCBI's taxonomy places the organism in Eukaryota, Fungi, Ascomycota, Sordariomycetes, Sordariales, Schizotheciaceae. The record is from the annotation of a GenBank genome assembly.